UGUGAGUGUGUAAGAGCGCAUGGUGGAUGCCUUGGCAUCAGGAGCCGAUGAAGGACGUGGAAAUCUGCGAUAAGCCUCGGGGAGCCGAUAAACGGGCUGUGAUCCGAGGAUGUCCGAAUGGGGGAACCCCGCCGCAUGCGAGUGCGGUGACCCGCACCUGAAUAUAUAGGGUGUGUGGAGGGAACGCGGGGAAGUGAAACAUCUCAGUACCCGUAGGAAGAGAAAAUAAGAAUGAUUCCGGGAGUAGUGGCGAGCGAAACUGGAUGAGCCUAAACCGUGUGCGUGUCAAGCGUGCUGGUGUUGCGUACAUGGUGUUGUGGGGUGUGUGUGUUCGGUUCAGCAUGACCGAGACGCUGAUGAGUGCUUACGUGUAGUCGAAGCUGGUGGGAAACAGUACCGGAGUGGGUGAGAGUCCCGUAGACGAAACGCGUGGCCCCGGUGUGACACGUGUCCCCGAGUAGCACGGAACUCGUGGAAUUCCGUGUGAAUCUGCCAGGACCACCUGGUAAGGCUAAAUACUUCCUGAUGACCGAUAGCGGAUCAGUAC
This 547-nucleotide ribosomal RNA is filed under the name Burkholderia multivorans. RNAcentral's name for it is "bacterial LSU rRNA". It matches the Rfam family "Bacterial large subunit ribosomal RNA", at positions 1 to 501 of the family's 2925-position model. Lineage: Bacteria; Pseudomonadati; Pseudomonadota; Betaproteobacteria; Burkholderiales; Burkholderiaceae. The record is from RNAcentral.